AGUGAACGCUGGCGGUAGGCCUAACACAUGCAAGUCGAACGGCAGCACAGUAAGAGCUUGCUCUUACGGGUGGCGAGUGGCGGACGGGUGAGGAAUACAUCGGAAUCUACUUUUUCGUGGGGGAUAACGUAGGGAAACUUACGCUAAUACCGCAUACGACCUACGGGUGAAAGCAGGGGAUCUUCGGACCUUGCGCGAUUGAAUGAGCCGAUGUCGGAUUAGCUAGUUGGCGGGGUAAAGGCCCACCAAGGCGACGAUCCUUAGCUGGUCUGAGAGGAUGAUCAGCCACACUGGAACUGAGACACGGUCCAGACUCCUACGGGAGGCAGCAGUGGGGAAUAUUGGACAAUGGGCGCAAGCCUGAUCCAGCCAUACCGCGUGGGUGAAGAAGGCCUUCGGGUUGUAAAGCCCUUUUGUUGGGAAGGAAAAGCAGCAGGUUAAUACCCCGCUGUUCUGACGGUACCCAAAGAAUAAGCACCGGCUAACUUCGUG
RNAcentral lists this ribosomal RNA (492 nucleotides) under uncultured bacterium. Its description in RNAcentral is "partial 16S ribosomal RNA". It matches the Rfam family "Bacterial small subunit ribosomal RNA", at positions 29 to 507 of the family's 1533-position model. The record is from RNAcentral.